GAGUUAAAAUCAAUAAUUCAUUUAUUAAUUAUUGAGGUUUAAAUCUGUUGUAGAAAUUACUUGAAUUUAUUAAGAUUUGGAUAGGGUUUGGUUAGGAUUUGACUAAGAUUUGGUUAAGAUUUGUUUAGAAUUUUAUUAGAAUUUGGUUAAGAUUUAUUUAAGAUUUAUUUAGGAUUAGUUAGGAUUUAUUUAAGAUUUGGUUAGGAUUUGUUUAAGGUUUGGUUAGGAUUUGGUUAGGAUUUGGUUAGAGUUUGGUUAGGAUUUAUUUAGAAUUUAUUUAAUAUUUGACUAAGAUUUGGUUAAGAUUUAUUUAAAAUUUAUUAGAAUUUUGUUAGAAUUUUUUAGGAUUUGACUAGGAUUUAUUUAGGAUUUGACUAGGAUUUAUUUAGGAUUUGAUUAGGAUUUGACUAGGAUUUGAUUAGAAUUUGAUUAGAUUUUGAUUAGGAUUUAGUUAAAGUUUCUAUUUUAAUAUUUUAUUAAG
RNAcentral lists this long non-coding RNA (481 nucleotides) under Physcomitrium patens. RNAcentral's name for it is "long non-coding RNA (PPAT_LNC002905)". Lineage: Eukaryota; Viridiplantae; Streptophyta; Bryopsida; Funariales; Funariaceae. The record is from RNAcentral.